This 562-nucleotide ribosomal RNA is filed under the name uncultured bacterium. Its description in RNAcentral is "partial 16S ribosomal RNA". It matches the Rfam family "Bacterial small subunit ribosomal RNA", at positions 355 to 909 of the family's 1533-position model. The record is from RNAcentral.
UGGGGAAUAUUGCACAAUGGGCGCAAGCCUGAUGCAGCCAUGCCGCGUGUGUGAAGAAGGCCUUCGGGUUGUAAAGCACUUUUGUCCGGAAAGAAAUCCUUGGCUCUAAUACAGUCGGGGGAUGACGGUACCGGAAGAAUAAGCACCGGCUAACUACGUGCCAGCAGCCGCGGUAAUACGUAGGGUGCAAGCGUUAAUCGGAAUUACUGGGCGUAAAGCGUGCGCAGGCGGUUUGCUAAGACCGAUGUGAAAUCCCCGGGCUCAACCUGGGAACUGCAUUGGUGACUGGCAGGCUAGAGUAUGGCAGAGGGGGGUAGAAUUCCACGUGUAGCAGUGAAAUGCGUAGAGAUGUGGAGGAAUACCGAUGGCGAAGGCAGCCCCCUGGGCCAAUACUGACGCUCAUGCACGAAAGCGUGGGGAGCAAACAGGAUUAGAUACCCUGGUAGUCCACGCCCUAAACGAUGUCAACUAGUUGUUGGGGAUUCAUUUCCUUAGUAACGUAGCUAACGCGUGAAGUUGACCGCCUGGGGAGUACGGUCGCAAGAUUAAAAGCUCAAAUGAA